AACGAACGCUGGCGGCAUGCCUAACACAUGCAAGUCGAACGAGACCUUCGGGUCUAGUGGCGCACGGGUGCGUAACGCGUGGGAACCUUCCCUUAGGUUCGGAAUAACUCCCCGAAAGGGGUGCUAAUACCGGAUAAUGUCUUCGGACCAAGGAUUUAUCGCCUUUGGAUGGGCCCGCGUUGGAUUAGCUAGUUGGUAGGGUAAAAGCCUACCAAGGCGACGAUCCAUAGCUGGUCUGAGAGGAGGGUCAGCGACACUGGGACUGAGACACGGCCCAGACUCCUACGGGAGGCAGCAGUGGGGAAUAUUGGACAAUGGGCGAAAGCCUGAUCCAGCAAUGCCGCGUGAGUGAUGAAGGCCUUAGGGUUGUAAAGCUCUUUUACCCGGGAUGAUAAUGACAGUACCGGGAGAAUAAGCUCCGGCUAACUCCGUG
RNAcentral lists this ribosomal RNA (433 nucleotides) under uncultured bacterium. Its description in RNAcentral is "partial 16S ribosomal RNA". It matches the Rfam family "Bacterial small subunit ribosomal RNA", at positions 29 to 507 of the family's 1533-position model. The record is from RNAcentral.